UACGGAGGGUGCAAGCAUUAAUCGGAUUUAUUGGGCGUAAAGGGCGCGUAGGCGGCCUUGCAAGUCGGUUGGUGAAAGCCCGGGGCUCAACCCCGGAGGUGCGGCCGAGACUGCAGGGCUGGAGGCCGGAAGAGGAGGGUGGAAUACCCAGUGUAGAGGUGAAAUUCGUAGAUAUUGGGUGGAACACCGGUGGCGAAAGCGGCUCUCUGGUCCGGACCUGACGCUGAGGCGCGAAAGCGUGGGGAGCAAACAGG
RNAcentral lists this ribosomal RNA (254 nucleotides) under uncultured bacterium. RNAcentral describes it as "partial 16S ribosomal RNA". It matches the Rfam family "Bacterial small subunit ribosomal RNA", at positions 524 to 776 of the family's 1533-position model. The record is from RNAcentral.